Molecule: non-coding RNA, 141 nt
Organism: Leminorella grimontii
Lineage: Bacteria; Pseudomonadati; Pseudomonadota; Gammaproteobacteria; Enterobacterales; Budviciaceae
Source: Rfam
UUGACAGUGCUCUUUUUUUAACCUAGAGUGAAGACAAAGGGUGAGCGGGGUUUCCCCCGCUCUGGCGCUCUAGUUAGCCGGCAAGCUUAUUACCAGAAGCACCACGAUGAUGACUAACCUCAUCAUGUCCCUUUCCUCUUU